GAGACGCUGACCAAAGUACUGAUAUGGAUGAGCCCCUAUUGAAGUUAGUUGAUGAUCGAUGAAUUAAGUAUCCACCCUGCAAACUGUGGAUCAGAGAAUUGUAUUGGACAGUAUCUGACAUCAAAAAGGUAGGUAGUCCUAUAUUAUUUUUAUAAUCAGUCUGUAAGAUUUUAUUUUUACGUCAUAUUUUCUUUUUCUUUUCACUUUAUUUGGUUAAUCUUUUAAUGGCUUUUAUUUUCAAUAGCAAAUAAAUGUGACAUUUUUAUUUAAUAAAAGGUUACUCCAACCAAAAUCCAGUGUUUUCAUAAAUGUGGUUGUCAGCAAAUGCCCCAAAUGCAAAAAAAUAAAUUUAAUUAAAAAAUGUUUCCUUCACCAAAAGUAACUUUUCCCUUAGCCCAAUUUUUCUCAGCUGACAUUAGUCCACCUCGGGGGAGAGAGAGCCAGGUGGAAGGACUGAGUAGACCACUGGGGCGGCAUGUAAGGUGGACAUGAUGCCAUUGGCUGUCUGGUGACAACAUGGUGUACAUACUGGCAUCAGACCCCAAUUUUGCACAGAAUUUAUAUUAGCGAGCCCAGUUCUCUUGUUCUCAGCUGGUUAAUGACACCCCAUAUGUAUGUGCAGCAUUUCAUAGUAUUUUCAACUCUACACUUACAGACUCCAGACACCAUGACCACUUUGAAUUGCUGCAGUGGUCAUGGUGGUUGGAGUAAACCAUUAAAGCAGAAUUCUCCAGCUCUCUGCAUAGUAUCAUAUUAUGCUAUUACUAGAGCGUUAUGUUUGUCUUAUCCUUGGGUAAUACAGAGCCUGUCUGACACCCAUCCGGCUCUGUAAUGUAAGUCAGGAAUGUAGGUGGUGACACAUUAUAUUUUUAUAAAAGAGCAGAAGUAUUUAAGGUCUUUUUACAUCUGGUUAUUAAUUUACUAUUAUUGUAUAUUUGGCUAUUUUAUUUUAAGAUUUUUUUCUCUUUAUUCUACUUAUAUGUGUCCACCUUUAACAAAACCUUGCCAUUUUCCUGUUCUCUGACAUUUUAAAUGCAUGACAUCAUAUUUACGUUACACUUUCAAUGUUAUCGAUUUAGCAAUACACGCAAGGGUUUGUUUAUAUUUUUAUUUAUCUCUUUACAGUUAAUUCAAGUAUGAACCCCAGCAUUGAUCAUCGAUACUAAUCUAAUCCCGAAUUAUUCCGCUAACAUGGACGUAUUACAGG
Molecule: non-coding RNA, 1207 nt
Organism: Pelobates cultripes (western spadefoot toad)
Lineage: Eukaryota; Metazoa; Chordata; Amphibia; Anura; Pelobatidae
Source: the annotation of a GenBank genome assembly